CCCAGUGCGCACCGCUCUUCACGCAGGCAGCCAUGCGGCGAGCCCGGGAGCUGCUCGCCUUCUGCUGCCUGGUCUUGAGCACCACCGGGCGCCCUUCGCGAGUUCUGUGCUUCUCUCUUUCAGAUUUUUGUGCCCAGACCCUUAACUCAGAUGUGAAGCCAGGAUUUCCUAAAACAAUAAACCCCAAUGACUCAGCAGUCCUCAAAGCGGCCAGACACAGCGUUGAAAGGUUCAACAACUGCACAAAUGACAUCUUCUUGUUCAAGGAGUCCCACAUCAGCAGAGCCCUGGUCCAGGGCCCAUCCCUGCUGAUGGAGAGUUCUGGGCAGGAAGGAAAUGUCUUGGACACAGAGCCGCAGUCUCACCUGGGGACCAAGAACUGGUGCCAUGAGCAGGACCAACAUGAAUGGAUUGUGAAGGGUCUGAAGUACAUGCUGGACAUGGAGAUUGGCAGAACUUCUUGCAAGAAGACCCAACACCCUAGUCUAGACAACUGUGACUUCCAGACCAACCACACCUUACAACGGAUGUGAAAUUCUUCAAAACAACUUGGGGCAAGGGAGAGCUUAAUAAGGAAAAUGCACACACACACAGACUUUCAGUUGCUACUCUGAAGUUUGGGUCAUCCCCUGGCUCCAGAGGUUCGAGGUGCCCGUCCUCCACUGUCAGUGACUUCCACCUCACAGCAAGACUGCACCUGUGCUGUUUACUGUGCUCAGUCACAGCCCUGUCCUGGCUGUCACAGACCCUUGGACCUUCUAUAGGAGCUCAGCAGUGAGCAGAAGUGCCCACAGGUUCACUGCAAAGUAGCCAGAGUGGAAGAAAAAGAUACUACCCCUGGCUAGAUUAUUUCACAUUUUUUUCUAAACUUCAUUUUACUAAUGCUGUGUCCCAGACAGAUUUGGGGUCUGGACACACACAGGAGCGAGUCCUCUGGUGGGAAUUUUUCAGGUUCUGGACCCCUGAGCAAGCCCAAUUACCCUGUGGUCCCACGCUCACCAAUGAAAAGCCCAGAGAUCCAUCCUUCUGACUGAAUAACUGUUACAGCACUGGGCAGAGGACCCAAGUCUGCUAUUAAGCAUCUUUGGCCUUUCAUGGAUGAAUAAAGUCAUGAAUAAAUAGGAAUAAAGAACUGACCAUCUCAAAGCAUCUUUAAAGGGACAGUUAGGAAGGUGAGGUGUUGUGAGGGGUGCCCCUCACUUAGUGGUCUAAUGAGUAUAAGUGACUUCCAUAAAGCCCCUUGGAGGCUUUUCCAGCCACUCACUGCUAGCUAAAAUAUACUGAAGACCAAAGCAGCCAAAACAGGCCAGCAUAUAUCUACAUCAUGAACUGGCAGGACAGAAAGCACCCGACUUUGGAGGGCACUUACCCUCCAGCUGGGUAUUCUUCUGACAGGGAGCCAUACACCCAAGUUCUCUCCACUGCCUCUGAGGCUCAGCAUGCACACAGCAGCACCUGGGCAGGUGGGGUGAGGCAGAGUGCUGGGACCACUGCCCACAGCACUUCAAAAGAAGGGAGUCGAGGUUAGGGAUGGAGGUGUUGUGUUGAGGAGUUGGGAGAAGGAGGGGACCACUAUGAGGUGGGAGGCACUAGCGUCCUCGUAAAAGACAGGGAUUGAGCUGGCAUUAGAAAGUGCAAGGCUGGGCCACAGAGACACCCAGGAGCUUGUAG
Molecule: RNA transcript, 1671 nt
Organism: Prionailurus viverrinus (fishing cat)
Lineage: Eukaryota; Metazoa; Chordata; Mammalia; Carnivora; Felidae
Gene: CST7
Gene name: cystatin F
Exons: 6
Source: RefSeq, a predicted model, not a curated record